This 262-nucleotide long non-coding RNA is filed under the name Elaeis guineensis (African oil palm). Its description in RNAcentral is "long non-coding RNA (EGUI_LNC077472)". Lineage: Eukaryota; Viridiplantae; Streptophyta; Magnoliopsida; Arecales; Arecaceae. The record is from RNAcentral.
AGACAUAUUCAUGAAAUGAAUGCACAUAGUAAAACAUGCUUUUUCAUAUCACAUAUGCCGAUCCUUGUUUUAUGAAAAAUUAUGAUUUUAUCAAUAGCAAUUCUUUACAUAAAAGCAUGAUCAUUUAAAAAUAAAUAAGGAGCAUAAAAUCUACUUACCUCGAUCGUCCUGAACUUUUUAAUCUUCCUUAAAAGAAUCGGAUAGUCCUAUUUAAAAUAUUAAAUCAUCAAUAAAUUUUAUUUCAUAUAUUUAAUAAAAUUAC